UACGUAGGGUGCGAGCGCUGUCCGGAAUUAUUGGGCGUAAAGGGCUCGUAGGCGGUCUGUCGCGUCGGGAGUGAAAACUCAGGGCUUAACCCUGAGCCUGCUUCCGAUACGGGCAGACUAGAGGUAUGCAGGGGAGAACGGAAUUCCUGGUGUAGCGGUGAAAUGCGCAGAUAUCAGGAGGAACACCGGUGGCGAAGGCGGUUCUCUGGGCAUUACCUGACGCUGAGGAGCGAAAGUGUGGGGAGCGAACAGG
This 253-nucleotide ribosomal RNA is filed under the name uncultured bacterium. RNAcentral describes it as "partial 16S ribosomal RNA". It matches the Rfam family "Bacterial small subunit ribosomal RNA", at positions 524 to 776 of the family's 1533-position model. The record is from RNAcentral.